This 613-nucleotide long non-coding RNA is filed under the name Trifolium pratense (red clover). RNAcentral's name for it is "long non-coding RNA (TPRA_LNC003292)". The record is from RNAcentral. Lineage: Eukaryota; Viridiplantae; Streptophyta; Magnoliopsida; Fabales; Fabaceae.
CAGUUCAUUUCAUACAAUAGUAUUCCAUUACAACAACGAUUAAUUAAGCUCUUCUACAAGAACAAAAUCAACAGAAACGAACCAUAUUAUAAAAAGAUGUGACAAGACAUUUUAAUUUAAUUAACCGUGACUUGUCCAACCAUACCAGCUCCUGCAUGAGGUGAACAGUAGAAUUUGUAUGUUCCCUUAGCAUCCAAAGUAACACUGUAAGUCUCACCAGGAGCAUUGAGAAGAUCUUCUUCAGGCAUGGAAAUUUUUGCAGCAUCAACCCCACUUGGAAUCUCGUCUUCAUCGAAGAUAACGUUGUGAGGAAAACCAGCAUUGUUCUUGAAUACAAUAGUGUCACCAGCACUUACUGUGAAAUUGUUUGGAACAAAAGCCAAACCCCCAUCACUAGCACCAAGCAACACUUCAACAGCCAUAGCAUUGCUAGCUAGCAUUGCACUUGCAGCAGUAGCAACAACAGCAACUCCAAUAUCUUUGAGUGAAGCUCUCACACAAAGCCUUGGUAAUUGAGAAGUUGAAGUUGGAAUCUUAGCUAUGGAAUUAACUUUGACUGCGUUAACCUUAAGGCCUGAGAAUGAUGGAAUAGCAACGGUGGUGGAAGUGACUG